AUGGAAAAGCCCAACCAAGAGGUUACAGUACUCACAGUACUCACAAGCCUCUACGUUUUGGGCCUCUCUGUUGUCUCAACCUCGUUCCUCUGGCCUGCCAAGUCACUCAGCUCAGUUCAGGAGCGUCUCAACCUCGUUCCUCUGGCCUGCCAAGUCACUCAGCUCAGUUCAGGAGUGUCUCAACCUCGUUCCUCUGGCCUGCCAAGUCACUCAGCUCAGUUCAGGAGCGUCUCAACCUCGUUUCUCUGGCCUGCCAAGUCACUCAGCUCAGUUCAGGAGUGUCUCAACCUCGUUCCUCUGGCCUGCCAAGUCACUCAGUUCAGGAGUGUCUCAACCUCGUUUCUCUGGCCUGCCUUGUCACUCAGCUCAGUUCAGGAGCGUCUCAACUUCGUUUCUCUGGCCUGCCUUGUCACUCAGCUCAGUUCAGGAGUGUCUCAACCUCGUUCCUCUGGCCUGCCAAGUCACUCAGCUCAGGUGCUCCAGAUGUUGUUGAACCUCUUUCAGGCUGAAACACAGAAAUGUUUAUUGUCAUUGUUUCCGCAUUAGGCCUUUCUAAUGUUAUGUGAAACCAGUCUCCUGUUAUGUGUGAGAGGGAUGAAUCUACAGUACAUACAGGGCUCCUGGCAUUCGAGACUGGGGACUAUGGUAACGUGAGACUGGGGACUAUGGUAACGUGAGACUGGGGACUAUGGUAACGUGAGACUGGGGACUAUGGUAACGUGAGACCGGGAACUAUGGUAACGUGAGACUGGGGACUAUGGUAACGUGAGACCGGGAACUAUGGUAACGAGAGACCGGGGACUAUGAUAACGUGAGACCGGGGACUAUGGUAACGUGAGACUGGGGACUAUGGUAACGUGAGACCGGGGACUAUGGUAACGUGAGACCGGGGACUAUGGUAACGUGAGACUGGGGACUAUGGUAACGUGAAACCGGGGACUAUGGUAACGUGAGACUGGGGACUAUGGUAACGUGAGACCGGGAACUAUGGUAACGUGAGACCGGGAACUAUGGUAACUAGAGACCGGGGACUAUGGUAACGUGAGACAGGGGACUAUGGUAACGUGAGACAGGGGACUAUGGUAACGUGAGACCGGGGACUAUGGCAACGUGAGACCGGGGACUAUGGUAACGUGAGACCGGGGACUAUGGUAACGUGAGACCGGGGACUAUGGUAACGUGAGACCGGGGACUAUGGUAACGUGAGACCGGGGACUGACUAUGGUAACGUGAGACCGGGGACUAUGGUAACGUGAGACCGGGGACUAUGGUAACGUGAGACCGGGAACUAUGGUAACGUGAGACCGGGGACUAUGGUAACUAUGGAACAUUUUUCCUUGGCCAAAGUGACAUUUCCUUAAGGACACAGAAAGACAAGGCUAAAGGAAGAACAUAAAUUAGUGUGUCCCAAAGCAAAUACCACAAUGAUAUAUCGUAGACAUAAAAACUCUAAAAACAGUACUUGUCAAAUCAAUGAUUCAUCAUUCAUAGCAGAAAGUCUGACUUUUCUCAAAGACACGACUACUACUCAAAAUGAAGACCGUUACACUCUCAACACAAUGAGGGGGGAAAACGUGGUGUUGAUUGGUAAUCUCUCCACUGGAGGGCAGUAUUUCAUCAUCCACAUACAGUUUUAUGAGUGACACAGAAAGAUAAAAACCUGACGUGUGGGUUUGAGGGAAGUAGUAACAUCCAUAUGAAAGUCCUUGAUGAAAAUGAACAUCACAAGUCUCUCAUAACGACCAUUUGAAACCUUGGCCACCUUGGCCACAACCGCAGAACAUCAGGAAAGCAUGAACAUUCAGUGAAAACAUCCACAAUACAACAAUCAAUAAUAAAUAAAAACAAUCCAUCCCACAAUUGCUUUGAUCACUUGAUCAGUAGAUAAAGAUAAAGAUAAAUUAUUAUUAAAUCAAGAUAAAUUGCUAAAACAAUGCAUAUCUAUCAAAUGAGCCAGAACUAAAAACAGGAAAACAUGAUGAGACGUAAAAAUCUAUUUAUUUAAGUCAGGAAGUAGCCGAUAUCUAUCCAUGAACUGCAGUAAUUACAUUGAGAAAUGGUCGCGGUGGGUGUGUGUUCCUCUAGCUGCUUGGCUUAAAAUAUAGAACACAGGACUCCAGUGAUCAGGGCUGAAUUCCAUGUAGAUCUGCUCUGAGUGUGUGUGUGUGUGUGUGUGUGUGUGUGUGUGUGUGUGUGUGUGUGUGUAUGUGUGUCUCUGUCCUCUGUGUGUGUGUCUGUGUGUGUGUGUGUCUGUGUCUGUCUCUGUCCUCUGUGUCUGUGUGUGUGUGUGUCUGUGUCUGUCUCUGUCCUCUGUGUCUGUGUCUGUGUGUGUGUCUGUGUCUGUGUCUGUGUGUGUUUCUGUUUCUGUGUGUGUGUGUCUGUGUCUGUGUGUGUUUCUGUGUCUGUGUGUGUCUGUGUGUGUGUGUGUGUGUGUGUGUGUGUGUGUGUGUGUGUGUGUGUGUGUGUGUGUGUGUGUGUGUGUGUGUGUGUGUGUGUGUAAAUCUGUUGGCAUCUGCUGAAGGGAUAAACAAAAAGCAGUGAGGCCCGUGAACCCUCAUUAACCUUUUGUUUAUGCGGCGUUGGAAACGAGGUCUACCCAGCAUGCAGCAGUGAUACACUCACACACACACACACACACGGCGGGCUCACGCAGAGCUGAUCGCCAGCUGUCAUGCUCCUCAAACGCUUAGAGAAAAAAACAUAAAUAGCACAUCAUUAUAGUGGAUAUAUAUGAACACAGAUCACUCCAGAAUUGUGAGUGAAAAUUGUGCACAUUCUUCCAACACUCAUAGCCUGCUAUAUGUUUUUAUCAAAUCAAGCAUUCAUUGUGUAAAGGUUUUUAAAAUCCCUGUCAUAUGGAAUAAAUGUAUGUUUUAGUACUUUUUAAAUGAAUUAUAAUUCAUACUAUUAAUGAAUGUAUAUUAUUGUGAAUGUAUACUAUUGUGAAUGUAUAAUAUUGUGAAUGUAUAAUAUUGUGAAUGUAUAAUAUUGUGAAUGUAUACUAUUGUGAAUGUAUACUAUUGUGAAUGUAUACUAUUGUGAAUGUAUACUAUUGUGAAUGUAUACUAUUGUGAAUGUAUACUAUUGUGAAUGUAUACUAUUGUGAAUGUAUACUAUUGUGAAUGUAUACUAUUGUGAAUGUAUACUAUUGUGAAUGUAUAAUAUUGUGAAUGUAUACUAUUGUGAAUGUAUACUAUUGUGAAUGUAUACUAUUGUGAAUGUAUACUAUUGUGAAUGUAUACUAUUGUGAAUGUAUACUAUUGUGAAUGUAUACUAUUGUGAAUGUAUACUAUUGUGAAUGUAUACUAUUGUGAAUGUAUAAUAUUGUGAAUGUAUACUAUUGUGAAUGUAUACUAUUGUGAAUGUAUACUAUUGUGAAUGUAUACUAUUGUGAAUGUAUACUAUUGUGAAUGUAUACUAUUGUGAAUGUAUACUAUUGUGAAUGUAUACUAUUGUGAAUGUAUACUAUUGUGAAUGUAUACUAUUGUGAAUGUAUACUACUAUUCUAUACUGCGUUACUGUUAGCAACCUGUCAACCAUGGCACAUUCACGGUGCUGUAACGUGUACAUGUAAAGACUGUGUUUUGGUUAUUUGUACAUUGUAGACAUCAUUAUUUCCAUGUGACGUUUUAAUAAGAUAUACGUUUACAUUUUGCUUUGAUUGUUGCUUUGUCCAAUAGUUUCUUCAAGAUGACCCCAUUGGUAAUCCAUGUGUAUGUAAAAUAUGUUGGUGGCUCGAAGGGUUAAUAGAUAUAAACCUCUGUUACUUAGAAUGGUGAGUACUAUUUUUUUUUUCACAACUCUAUGUUUAAAGGGAUUAAUAAUGGUAUUUACAAAUGUUAUUCAUGACCUUAAUGAAUAAUAAAUAAAUAAAUAAAUAAACAGAUCUAAUUUGUCGUAAGUAGGGACCCUGCAGUUCCAGCAUGUAGUUUUAUGUAUCUGAGUAAGAACAAAAGGCUAACACACAGACACUAGUCUUUCUUCUUCGUGUUAGCUGGCAGAGAAGCUGACUGAUGCACAGAGACAUUCUAGUCUUUCUUCUUCGUGUUAGCUGGCAGAGAAGCUGUCUGAUGCACAGAGACAUUCUAGUCUUUCUUCUUCGUGUUAGCUGGCAGAGAAGCUGUCUGAUGCACAGAGACAUUGUAGUCUUUCUUCUUCGUGUUAGCUGGCAGAGAAGCUGUCUGAUGCACAGAGACACUAGUCUUUCUUCUUCGUGUUAGCUGGCAGAGAAGCUGUCUGAUGCACACAGACACUAGUCUUUCUUCUUCGUGUUAGCUGGCAGAGAAGCUGUCUGAUGCACACAGACACUAGUCUUUCUUCUUCGUGUUAGCUGGCAGAGAAGCUG
This is a long non-coding RNA of Oncorhynchus mykiss (rainbow trout), 4345 nucleotides long. NCBI's taxonomy places the organism in Eukaryota, Metazoa, Chordata, Actinopteri, Salmoniformes, Salmonidae. The record is from Ensembl.